AUACAAUUUAAGACUAAAUAUGUUUUGAUUUCAAAUUAUGCUUUUAUUAUAGAAGUGUGGAAGUCAUACUUUAAAUCAUGAGUCAAUUAGAAAUAUUUUAAGGCAUGACAAGGAUUUUAUUUGCUUGAAUUAGAACUGGAUUCCAUCUGCUCUCCACUGGUCUGUCAGCAACAUGUCCUACAGAACACUGACUCCUGUUAGACAGAACAGCCAAGGAAAAAACUUAAUUGGAUCCAUCAACUUUACUGUGAAGCCACAGAUCAAAUUUCUUCUUUAGAAGAUCUUUGCAGACAUUUUCUGAGUCUUCAGGCAUCACGCUUGGCCUACAGAAAAGACACAGAUAGUUUACAAAGUUCUGCUGCACCAUGGCGUCCAUUAUUUUACUGAUAUCACUUGCAAGAGUGGAUUCAGCAUAGCGGCGCACCAGGAUUUGGUCAUCAUCUGCUGAACUAUUUGUGGCACAUAAUAAUAAUACAAUUUCUGGAUUUCUUUGUUGAGUAAUUAUUUGCAAAGAACAAAGUGAUAGUCUAUCAGAAAACUUUUAUCUUGGAAAAAAGGAAUGUCUCUGUCUUACCUGUCAUCAACUGAUCGUGCACUGACUGCAAGCAUACCACCCAAGCCCAGGAAAAUCAGUGCAAACAGUUGUAUCUUCAUCUUCAUCUAACACAGACUGACAGUCAGAUCAACAUUAGGUAUUUACAUAUACAGAUUAAUGAUAGCAUAUUUUUUAACUCGUGCUUAUUCUGUCAAAAUCAAAUGGUGUAUAUUUUUGCUGAAGGAAGAUGUGUUAAGGCCUACCUUAUGCAGCUAUGGUGCUGUAGCAUUG
Ictalurus furcatus (blue catfish) is the source of this 826-nucleotide long non-coding RNA. RefSeq lists it as uncharacterized. Lineage: Eukaryota; Metazoa; Chordata; Actinopteri; Siluriformes; Ictaluridae. The transcript is spliced from 3 exons. The record is from RefSeq and is a predicted model, not a curated record.